GGACAUCUGAAACGUGUCGUAGGCGA
This 26-nucleotide small RNA is filed under the name Bombyx mori (domestic silkworm). Its description in RNAcentral is "ovarian small RNA-17236". Lineage: Eukaryota; Metazoa; Arthropoda; Insecta; Lepidoptera; Bombycidae. The record is from RNAcentral.